RNAcentral lists this unclassified non-coding RNA (37 nucleotides) under Yersinia enterocolitica (type O:5) str. YE53/03. The record is from RNAcentral. Lineage: Bacteria; Pseudomonadati; Pseudomonadota; Gammaproteobacteria; Enterobacterales; Yersiniaceae.
CCUUCAAUGGAGUUCACCAUCUCCAGUGGAUUCAUAC